This 311-nucleotide unclassified non-coding RNA is filed under the name Hevea brasiliensis (rubber tree). The record is from RNAcentral. Lineage: Eukaryota; Viridiplantae; Streptophyta; Magnoliopsida; Malpighiales; Euphorbiaceae.
GGAAAAUGUGUGAAGAUUACUCCAGCUAAAGCUGAGCAUAUCAAACAGUACAAGUGUCCUAGUUGCAGUAGCAAGAGAGCUAAAGUCUAAAAAUUGCGGCAAGGACAAUUAAGUGGUGAUGUUGGAAGGUGUAGGAGUUUUAGCUCAGUUAUCAAAUGUCAAAAGUUAAAUGUUUGCUGAUGGAAUUGGGAUGUCCAUUUGCUUUCUGUUAUCUUGCUUUCGGAUUGCGUUUUAGAUUUUAAAGAAAUUGUGCCUGUUAUCAUCUUGUGUUUGAAGAUCCAUUUUCACUUUUUACUUGUGUAUUUAUUAUG